GAUGAACGCUGGCGGCGUGCCUAAUACAUGCAAGUCGAGCGAACGGACGAGAAGCUUGCUUCUCUGAUGUUAGCGGCGGACGGGGGAGUAAAACGUGGAUAACCUACCUAUAAGACUGGGAUAACUUCGGGAAACCGGAGCUAAUACCGGAUGAUAUUUUGAACCGCAUGGUUCAAAAGUGAAAGACGGUCUUGCUGUCACUUAUAGAUGGAUCCGCGCUGCAUUAGCUAGUUGGUAAGGUAACGGCUUACCAAGGCAACGAUGCAUAGCCGACCUGAGAGGGUGAUCGGCCACACUGGAACUGAGACACGGUCCAGACUCCUACGGGAGGCAGCAGUAGGGAACCUUCCGCAAUGGGCGAAAGCCUGACGGAGCAACGCCGCGUGAGUGAUGAAGGUCUUCGGAUCGUAAAACUCUGUUAUUAGGGAAGAACAUAUGUGUAAGUAACUGUGCACAUCUUGACGGUACCUAAUCAGAAAGCCACGGCUAACUACGUG
This 497-nucleotide ribosomal RNA is filed under the name uncultured bacterium. RNAcentral describes it as "partial 16S ribosomal RNA". It matches the Rfam family "Bacterial small subunit ribosomal RNA", at positions 28 to 507 of the family's 1533-position model. The record is from RNAcentral.